RNAcentral lists this ribosomal RNA (487 nucleotides) under uncultured bacterium. RNAcentral's name for it is "bacterial SSU rRNA". It matches the Rfam family "Bacterial small subunit ribosomal RNA", at positions 899 to 1397 of the family's 1533-position model. The record is from RNAcentral.
ACUCAAAUGAAUUGACGGGACCCCGCACAAGCAGCGGAGCGUGUGGUUUAAUUCGAUGCUACACGAAGAACCUUACCUGGGUUUGACAUGGGGGUGGUAGGGAGCCGAAAGGUGACCGACUCUUCGGAGAGCCUCCACAGGUGCUGCAUGGCUGUCGUCAGCUCGUGCCGUGAGGUGUCGGGUUAAGUCCCGUAACGAGCGCAACCCUUGUCCACAGUUACAAGUGUCUGUGGGGACUGCCGGCGAUAAGCCGGAGGAAGGUGGGGAUGACGUCAAGUCAGCAUGGCCUUUAUGUCCAGGGCUACACACACGCUACAAUGGGCGGUACAAUGGGCAGCGAAGCCGCGAGGCAGAGCGAAUCCCAACAAAGCCGUUCGUAGUUCGGAUUGCAGGCUGCAACCCGCCUGCAUGAAGCUGGAGUUGCUAGUAACCGCGCGUCAGCCAUAGUGCGGUGAAUACGUUCCCGGGGUUUGCACACACCGCCCGU